Molecule: ribosomal RNA, 253 nt
Filed under: uncultured bacterium
Lineage: Bacteria
Description: partial 16S ribosomal RNA
Rfam family: Bacterial small subunit ribosomal RNA
Source: RNAcentral
UACGUAGGCAGCAAGCGUUGUUCGGAGUUACUGGGCGUAAAGGGUGCGUAGGCGGCGGAGCAAGUCUGAUGUGAAAUCCCGGGGCUCAACCCCGGAACUGCAUUGGAUACUGCUUUGCUAGAGUACUGGAGAGGGAACUGGAAUUUACGGUGUAGCAGUGAAAUGCGUAGAGAUCGUAAGGAAGGCCAGUGGCGAAGGCGAGUUCCUGGACAGUGACUGACGCUGAGGCGCGAAAGCCAGGGGAGCAAACGGG